GAAAACAAAGACUAUUCGAACAGUCUCAGACUCAUAGAGCUGCCCGCUCAAUACCAAACCUAGUACAACGCGACACUACUGUCGAACUUGCGACAUUAAACAAAGUGCUUAGUGGGAGACAACCCACCAUUUUUUCUUUUUGUUAUUUUUCUUACAAUCUAAUUUUUUUUUCCUUCUUUAAUUUUCUUCUUUAUUUUGUUUGCUCCCCCCUUCUUGAUUCUUU
This 223-nucleotide long non-coding RNA is filed under the name Lathyrus oleraceus (garden pea). RNAcentral's name for it is "Pisum sativum (pea) long non-coding RNA (PSAT_LNC034112)". Lineage: Eukaryota; Viridiplantae; Streptophyta; Magnoliopsida; Fabales; Fabaceae. The record is from RNAcentral.